This 644-nucleotide long non-coding RNA is filed under the name Manacus vitellinus (golden-collared manakin). Its description in RNAcentral is "lncRNA (ENSMVIG00005002023.1)". The record is from RNAcentral. Lineage: Eukaryota; Metazoa; Chordata; Aves; Passeriformes; Pipridae.
UUUUCAUAUUUUCUAGGCAUCAACGUUUGUCUUAAAAAAAUCUUUUCUUCAGAGAAAGAAACAGUUUUAAUCAAAAACACUUUCAGCUGUGUCUAAACCAGAUAUCUGUCUGUCCAGAAGAAUCAGAAGGAAAAUCUGAACAUGAGGAAACAAAAGGAAAUGAAAUAUCCAAGGCCACACCAAGAAUCCAUGUCAGAACUCAGGACAUCUUCACCUUUGUUGCCAAUGAAAAACUCACAAGGAAUCUGCUCUCACAAGGUAUUAACACAGAGGAACACCAGCAGGAUGAAAUGAACCCAGUAACUGCUGUGUCAACAGUUAUUUAUUCUUCCAGAACUUUUGUUUAACUCUCAUGCUGGAACCUUUUGUACUGAUUGCAUAAGCCUCUAAACAUUUAAAUUAAUUGUUUCUUAUUGUCUUUGAUAUAACUGAUGUCUUCUUUUACCUUUGCUCAUUAUUUUUUUAGUAUGUUCAUUAAUCUGCAUUCAUUAUUUAUAUUCACUACGUGAAGCCGCUGUUUUUAGUUUCCUUUCAACAUCCUCUCAAUUUGAGGGUUUUUAUUUCCGAGACUUUAUCUACCAGGCUUUAGUCUUUAGGCAUAGAGUCUUGGAAACUGUUAAUCACUUUCACUUCUAAUAUUAUCU